UACAGAGCUAAGCAUGUUGUUGGUACUAAACUCUACAUAAACUCUAAUGCUUUGUUAUACUCCUGAGCCUUGCCAGAUUCACUCCAGCUUGGGAUGUGCUGAUGCCAGGUGCCUCAUAGGAAAAUCUGUUUAUAGAUAUCCAUGAAACAUAAAAAAUUGGGUAUGUAUAUAUAGAGCUCCUGUUUUGGAGUUUAUCUUUGGAUGUUUAUUUUUAGCAAUUUGAGUUCUAUGUAGAUGCCCAAAAAUUGGGGGUGGGACCAAAAGUUGGUCCUUCUUUGUAUAUACUGUAAUGCAUAAUCUCUUUAUUCUUCCUAGUGUGAUUUAAUGUAAUACUAUUUCAGAUAGUGCUAUCUGAAGUGCACUAAGGAACCUUUUAUGUACCCCAGCAGGGUCUGUGUGGACCUAUUAAUACACAACAUAUGUACUUUAGAAAUCACACAGCUGUAGUCUGCAUUACUGCUGUGUUGAUCAGCCCUUGGACACAAGUUAGCCAUAUCCAGUAUUGAUUGGAUAAAUACUGUUUUUUUUUUCUUUUUGGAGCAGGGGUUUUAUUGGUUAAAAUGAAAAAUCAGAAACUCUAGCUAUAUUACCACAAAUGUUGUUCCAUGUUUCAUGACAUCUUUAUAUCAGAUUGUAAAGAGUCAAAAUCAAAAACUGUAAUUGCAACCAUCUUCGAUGGGCUUAUAUGGUAGUCCAAUGUAUGUUGACAUACCCAUUCCAUUUAACUGUCUUUUUUAAAACACAAAAAUCAACUGUGACCUUCAAAAUACUGAAAACAACAUCCUUUAACAAGUAGCAUUCAUAGAGGUUGUGGAUCACAGAAAGUCAUUCUUUGAUAAGCAGGGGCAUACCUCUUUUACGUAGGGAAUUAUGAAAAAAGUGAACGCAUAUCAGAGAUCAUUUAGUUCUUUGCAGUAAGACUUCCAGAAUGGUGCUACAGAAGCUUUUGCCUCUAGAGCUAGUUCCUGAAGUCCUCACCCAUUGGUUCUAGAAGUUGGGCAGGCACUGCUUAUUUAGCAGUGAUGCUUGUAGCCUGACCUUGAGAAAUAGAUUUUUUUGCAAUAUGUCCAGCCUCUACUAGCUAUACUUGAGUAUUCUUAUCAGAUUCUCCUUAGGAAGAAAUAAUCUUAAUCUACUCAUUUAGUAUUUGCACAACUACAGUAAACAAAUGCUUAACUUUAGAAAUAUUGUACAUCUAUUUUAAUAAAAUAUUUUUAUACCAAAAGUGUUAAUCUAGACAUUAGCAGGUCUAGUUUUAUUUUUUUUAAACAGCAGCACUGAAUGUUUUCCUGUUUACUUUUAUAGUUUCAUUUGGAUUUAUAUCAGUGUAAUAGCAGAUUAGUGUGACUGCUUCUAAACUAAACCUAGGUUAAAGUUCAUGGGUGAGAUUAAAUUUUUUUAAAAGUAGGCUAAAACAUUUACAGUAAAAGCCUAGUAAAUCUCUCCUCUCUCUGGUAAAAGGUCUUAUAUAGAAAAUGACAAUCCUCCCACCACUGGAGGCUGGCCACAAGAACCUCCAGCCACUAAUCUACUCCGCAGGCUACAGCUGUAUCUGCACUUUUGUAACAGGGACAGUAGAUCUGCACAGAUCCAUUGGGUCACAGCAGAGCAUGGCUCUAAGAGUUAAGGAUGUCCUGCUUCUGCCUCAUGGGCAUUUUCUUCCCCUCCUUCCCCCCAAAAGCAGCAGAGCUGUUGUGGUUCUUCUGCAUUAUGGACUUGAAAAUAUUACCCUAAAGUUAGCAAGUUUUUGUGUACCAAUUGUGAUCACAUCCACGUGGCUUGUCUUAAGGGAGCUCAAAGCUUUAAUUUUGAAUGGUGUGGUUUGGGGAAGGUAAGUUCUCCUAAAAUCCAGUAUUAGGCGGUAAACAGGGUUUUAGGUUAAAGGAGACCUGCAGAGGAAAAACAGGUUUGGGUCCUCUUAAUUAUAUAAGAAAUCUUCUGAAGUCCCCAUAUAGAAAUUUAACCUUUUUCUUUUAAGCAAGAAGCAACUAGCCUGUGCCAAGUCUAGCUCAGAAGAAUCUGCUAAACUGUUCUGUGCAUAUCAUUUCCUUAGGGCUACUUCUCGCUUCAGCCAUAGUAUAAUAAACUUUAUAAGCUAACUACCUUAAA
This is a long non-coding RNA of Gopherus flavomarginatus (Mexican gopher tortoise), 2109 nucleotides long. RefSeq lists it as uncharacterized. The record is from RefSeq and is a predicted model, not a curated record. NCBI's taxonomy places the organism in Eukaryota, Metazoa, Chordata, Testudines, Testudinidae. The transcript has 2 exons.